UAAUCGGAAUUACUGGGCGUAAAGCGCGCGUAUGUGGUUUGUUAAGUUGGAUGUGAAAUCCCCGGGCUCAACCUGGGAACUGCAUCCAAAACUGGCAAGCUAAGUAGGCAAGGGUGGUGGAAUUUCCUGUGUACGGUGAAAUGCGUAGAUAUAGGAAGGAACACCAGUGGCGAAGGCGACCACCUGGGCUCAUACUGACACUGAGGUGCGAAAGCGUGGGGAGCAAACAGGAUUAAUACCCUGGUAGUCAAGGGCG
Molecule: ribosomal RNA, 256 nt
Filed under: uncultured Pseudomonadales bacterium
Lineage: Bacteria; Pseudomonadati; Pseudomonadota; Gammaproteobacteria; Pseudomonadales
Description: partial 16S ribosomal RNA
Rfam family: Bacterial small subunit ribosomal RNA
Source: RNAcentral